Molecule: long non-coding RNA, 3686 nt
Organism: Xenia sp. Carnegie-2017
Lineage: Eukaryota; Metazoa; Cnidaria; Anthozoa; Malacalcyonacea; Xeniidae
Exons: 9
Source: RefSeq, a predicted model, not a curated record
UUCAACUAUUCCGAAUUACUGUUCAUUCAUCCCAAAGAUUUAUGUUUUAAAAUGUGGAAAGAUAAGAAAAUUAUCGGAGAUUGACAAUGUGUAAUUAUAACUGGCAUUAUGUCGAAAUUAGAGAGUCAACAAAACACAAUGUACGUGUUUGUAUGAGUUCAUGCAACACAAUUGAUCGCUGAAUCGGAAAACUUUUUUCUGCACUCGUCCAAAGCAAGUAUUUUCUUUAAAAAGUCAACUAAUGUCAGGAAAAAGAGUUUGGUCUUUGGAUACAUUGAAGAGCUCUUUUUGGACUUAUGUCUGUAUCCGGAGAACGGUAACCAAUGCUCAGCACAGCAGCUUCUGUGCCAUCCUUUUAUCUCUCCAAAUCCCAUGUCGCGCGUCUUAAGCAAUAACAUCACUUCAGAUAAGCUUGACGCUGAAAAAGAUCACGGUAGAAAUGAAAAUGGCUGUGAUGAUGAAGACGAGUCUCCUGAUUUGAUGCCUAUUCCUUUCGUUAACGCUGCGAGAAAUUCAAGAGUUCGAAAUGUAUUUGAGGUGUUGCAAAUGCUUGGAGAAUGGAUGGUUUGCUUCAGUUGUGAAGGUAUGUAAUGAAAUGGACGGCUGUCUCUAUGUGAUCAAAAGAAUUCCUUUGAAUCCGAAAAGGUUCUGUUCGAGAGGAGAAGUUCCUUUCUAGAUUGAAUCAUGAAAAUAUUGUAAGACAGCACUUUCGGAUUCCAAGAUUUAUUAUUCAAUAUUUUUCCCGCCGGCGUUUGUUGAUGGUCAUGAAAUGCUUGCCAAACAGCGUGAGCUGUAGGAUUUUUGGAAUCAAACUUCCAUUUGUAAACAUUGCCUGCAGAAUCUACACCUAGCAAUUCGGUAAGGUCUUCCUGAGCCCACUGUGGUAACCUGCCAAAACAAUAAUGAUCACGAGGACUACACGUUCCAUAUGCAUACCCAAGCACGUCGUUUUCGUUUGAAGGCCACUUGGCGUUUGCAGACCACCACCAGAAAGCCAACCAAUCACCACCAUACAUACAAAGGCUCAUGGGACGUGAGGCAGCAAAAUACAAAACAAGGCCUACAGUUGGACGUGGAGUAUUACAAUUUUCAUCAUAGAGCUCUUCCACACCAAAUCUAUAAAAUGUAGAAAUGACAUUUUUGCAACGUUGAAAAGAAUUUCCCAAAAAUCUUUGUUUGUUCGCCUGUUUGUUUGUUUGUUAGCCUGUUUGUUUGUUUGUUCGCCUGUUGGUUUGUUUAUUUGCUCGCCCGUUUGUUUGUUUCUUUGUUCGCCUGUUUGUUUGUUCUCCUGUUUGUUUGUUUGUUUGAACUGAACAUAACAAAAACUUGCACACCUGUUUAUUGGACCGAAUGAUGUACUAAAGCCAGAAUGACACAUUCCGUGACCCAAACUAAGGGAAGACAGACAGUCGCAGUUAUCGUCGUCAAGUAGUAACGACUUCACUCCCUGUUGCUCACGAUACAUAAAUGAAUCUUGGUCCUGAAAUAAAAAAGAGAAUAGCAUUGCAUAAAUUGAGAUGGAAAGUUUGGAAAUUGACCAAUUUUGUGCUUACUAAAAGUCAAAGAAAUUGACCAAAUAUCAAGCGAUAUUUGGCAGAUACAGGAAAUAUCUUUAGUCCACCACCAGAAUGGUGUCCACUCCAUACCGAAGUCUACGAAAGACAUUUCUGUGCGAUAGUACAAACUGAGUCCAUUUGAAGUUUGAGGCACGCCACAAGUAGGAUCAUACAGCUUAUCGACACCAAGACCCUUUGGAAUGCCAGAGUUACCACCGCACAUUGAUGUACCAAUAUUCAAGGGUUCCAAGGAUGAGAGUUUUUGACAACCCCUACACCAGUCUCUGUAUGAUCAUGAAAUGCUCUCCAGGCUGCAUGAGAGGUGGGAUUUGUUGAGUUAAAAUGCCACAGCUAUGAAAAGGAAAAGUUAAAUCAGAAGAAAGUAACGAAGAAAAAACAAACACAGUAACAACACCAAGACAGAAAGGUUCCAUAAGGAUGUGCAAGAACAUCAGUGGAAGCACUUUUAGGCCAUGUGGCACCAGAUGUAAACCACCAAAAGCCUUUCCAAGAUUUACCAUAUUUGGUGGCAUUUCUUUGUCCACGUGACCUGAAAUACAACGUCAACCCCUUUGAAAUUGAGGGAUAAUGUGUAGUGUCGUUGAGAUAGUCUACUCCCAAUCCUUGCUUAUAUAAAGCAUGUCCCAUGCUCAGGGUGUUGUAAUGGUCACCAUUAUCGUCAUCUAACAACACUGUUUUGUAUCCUUUUGCAUCGCGAUAUAAAAAAGAAUCUUGGUUCAAUUUUGGAGGCUGACCAACCAACGUCUUGGGGUUCCAUGAUUUGGAAUUCUUUAUCUAAGUUAAAAAUAGCAUGUAAUUGCAUAAAAAGAUUUACUAGGUUCAAUUUUAUACAAGCAAGUUUUUUAUUACAAUGAACAGUUCAUAGUAGACAUAGCUUCUACAGAGCCUGUUUUUCCAUCAAUGAAAAUUUGAGACCUCGUGAAAAUAUUUUUUCCGCACGGACCUCCCAUACGGUAAAUAACAUUUAUUUUUUAUUUUUAUUAUGAAAAUUCGCGUUGUAAAAUGGCCGAUGGCCCGAUGCAACUUGAUGCUGAGACUAAAAUUGGAUUGUAUUCUACUACAUCGUAUAGGAACUCCAUCCGAUACAAAAGCAAUCCGGUAUAGUGCAAACGGGGUCUUAGUGCAAGGAUUGAUUAGUGAAAUAUUUUAAUAACGUGCUUUUGAACAUCUCCUUCCAACAAAAUCGAACCAAGUAAUUUAGUUGAUCAUCUUCAACACUUAACUGUUAGCGAAUUGUACAACUAGAGGAAUAAUAGUUACAGACAAUUAGAAGAAAAAUUCUGCCAUUCACUUAUGUGAAAUUAUCACCUCGCCGCUUGUAUGAUCAUGAAAGGCAAGCCAAGCUGCAUGCGCUGUUGGAUUAGAAGAAUCAAAACUCCAUUGAUAGACAGUCCCUCGUGAAUCAAUUGCGAGAAGUUCUGUUUGAUUUUCUUGAGUCCAACUUGGUAGCCUCUGAAAGCAAUAAUGAUCAUAUUUGGAACACGUGCCGUAACAAUCCUGCAGCACGUCUUUCACGUGCACAGGCCAUGGAGCUCCAGGUGUCCACCACCAAAAUGCUUCCCAAUCCCCUCCAAAGUCGGACAGAAAUAUCUUUUUUUCUUGGCGGAAGUACAAAGACAAUCCAAUAGUUGGUCGAGGUCCGUUACAUCCGGGAUCGUAAAGGGCAUCGACUCCAAUCUCUUUUCCAAAUUUACUGUUAUGUCCUGAAAAUAAAUCAAAAUAUUUAAAGUUAUUUUAUGAAAUUAAUGCAAGUUUAAAAAACCAAUCAUUGACAGAAAAAGCGCAUUCUACAUUUGGCUUGUCAGUUGACGUGAAAUGCUAAAACAAAAUGUACAAUAAGAUCUUUUCAUAUUGCAUUUGCUUCGGAAUAUUCUCUUGGCUGUGGUGACGUACGAAGAAUGCACAAAUUUUUCUCUGGCCAUGGCUCGUUUUCGUGCACUUGUUAGUAUCUUGUUUAAUGGAAAUAGUAAUACAUUUUCAUUAACUUUAUAACAUAUUAUCCUUCAACAUAAAACAAAAACAACAAAAAUUUGUUGUGGCUGCCCUUUAUGUGUGUAGAUAGGCGACAGGUAAAAUAAAAUAAUCUAAUAUUCUCCUCCAUCUUGUAAA